GGGGAAUUUUGGACAAUGGGCGCAAGCCUGAUCCAGCAAUGCCGCGUGAGUGAAGAAGGCCUUCGGGUUGUAAAGCUCUUUUGUCAGGGAAGAAACGGCUGUGGCUAAUAUCCACGGCUAAUGACGGUACCUGAAGAAUAAGCACCGGCUAACUACGUGCCAGCAGCCGCGGUAAUACGUAGGGUGCAAGCGUUAAUUGGAAUUACUGGGCGUAAAGCGUGCGCAGGCGGUUUUGUAAGUCUGUCGUGAAAUCCCCGGGCUCAACCUGGGAAUUGCGAUGGAGACUGCAAGGCUAGAAUCUGGCAGAGGGGGGUAGAAUUCCACGUGUAGCAGUGAAAUGCGUAGAGAUGUGGAGGAACACCGAUGGCGAAGGCAGCCCCCUGGGUCAAGAUUGACGCUCAUGCACGAAAGCGUGGGGAGCAAACAGGAUUAGAUACCCUGGUAGUCCACGCCCUAAACGAUGUCUACUAGUUGUCGGGCUUUAAUUAACUUGGUAACGCAGCUAACGCGUGAAGUAGACCGCCUGGGGAGUACGGUCGCAAGAUUA
Molecule: ribosomal RNA, 547 nt
Filed under: uncultured bacterium
Lineage: Bacteria
Description: bacterial SSU rRNA
Rfam family: Bacterial small subunit ribosomal RNA
Source: RNAcentral